GGGUUGUGAGGUUAAGCGACUAAGCGUACACGGUGGAUGCCCUGGCAGUCAGAGGCGAUGAAGGACGUGCUAAUCUGCGAAAAGCGUCGGUAAGGUGAUAUGAACCGUUAUAACCGGCGAUGUCCGAAUGGGGAAACCCAGUGCAAUUCGUUGCACUAUCGUUAACUGAAUACAUAGGUUAACGAGGCGAACCGGGGGAACUGAAACAUCUAAGUACCCCGAGGAAAAGAAAUCAACCGAGAUUCCCCCAGUAGCGGCGAGCGAACGGGGAGCAGCCCAGAGUCUGAAUCAGCUUGUGUGUUAGUGGAACGGUCUGGAAAGUCCGACGGUACAGGGUGAUAGUCCCGUACACCAAAAUGCACAGGCUGUGAACUCGAAGAGUAGGGCGGGACACGUGGUAUCCUGUCUGAAUAUGGGGGGACCAUCCUCCAAGGCUAAAUACUCCUGACUGACCGAUAGUGAACCAGUACCGUGAGGGAAAGGCGAAAAGAACCCCGGCGAGGGGAGUGAAAAAGAACCUGAAACCGUGUACGUACAAGCAGUGGGAGCACCUUCGGGUGUGACUGCGUACCUUUUGUAUAAUGGGUCAGCGACUUAUAUUCUGUAGCAAGGUUAACCGUAUAGGGGAGCCGCAGGGAAACCGAGUCUUAACUGGGCGUUAAGUUGCAGGGUAUAGACCCGAAACCCGGUGAUCUAGCCAUGGGCAGGUUGAAGGUUGGGUAACACUAACUGGAGGACCGAACCGACUAAUGUUGAAAAAUUAGCGGAUGACUUGUGGCUGGGGGUGAAAGGCCAAUCAAACCGGGAGAUAGCUGGUUCUCCCCGAAAGCUAUUUAGGUAGCGCCUCGUGAAUUCAUCUUCGGGGGUAGAGCACUGUUUCGGCUAGGGGGUCAUCCCGACUUACCAACCCGAUGCAAACUACGAAUACCGAAGAAUGUUAUCACGGGAGACACACGGCGGGUGCUAACGUCCGUCGUGAAGAGGGAAACAACCCAGACCGCCAGCUAAGGUCCCAAAGUCAUGGUUAAGUGGGAAACGAUGUGGGAAGGCACAGACAGCCAGGAUGUUGGCUUAGAAGCAGCCAUCAUUUAAAGAAAGCGUAAUAGCUCACUGGUCGAGUCGGCCUGCGCGGAAGAUGUAACGGGGCUAAACCAUGCACCGAAGCUGCGGCAGCGACACUAUGUGUUGUUGGGUAGGGGAGCGUUCUGUAAGCCUGCGAAGGUGUGCUGUGAGGCAUGCUGGAGGUAUCAGAAGUGCGAAUGCUGACAUAAGUAACGAUAAAGCGGGUGAAAAGCCCGCUCGCCGGAAGACCAAGGGUUCCUGUCCAACGUUAAUCGGGGCAGGGUGAGUCGACCCCUAAGGCGAGGCCGAAAGGCGUAGUCGAUGGGAAACAGGUUAAUAUUCCUGUACUUGGUGUUACUGCGAAGGGGGGACGGAGAAGGCUAUGUUAGCCGGGCGACGGUUGUCCCGGUUUAAGCAUGUAGGCUGGUUGUCCAGGCAAAUCCGGAUAAUCAAGGCUGAGGUGUGAUGACGAGGCACUACGGUGCUGAAGUAACAAAUGCCCUGCUUCCAGGAAAAGCCUCUAAGCAUCAGGUAACAUCAAAUCGUACCCCAAACCGACACAGGUGGUCAGGUAGAGAAUACCAAGGCGCUUGAGAGAACUCGGGUGAAGGAACUAGGCAAAAUGGUGCCGUAACUUCGGGAGAAGGCACGCUGGUGUGUAGGUGAAGUCCCUGCGGAUGGAGCUGAGACCAGUCGAAGAUACCAGCUGGCUGCAACUGUUUAUUAAAAACACAGCACUGUGCAAACACGAAAGUGGACGUAUACGGUGUGACGCCUGCCCGGUGCCGGAAGGUUAAUUGAUGGGGUUAUCCGUAAGGAGAAGCUCUUGAUCGAAGCCCCGGUAAACGGCGGCCGUAACUAUAACGGUCCUAAGGUAGCGAAAUUCCUUGUCGGGUAAGUUCCGACCUGCACGAAUGGCGUAAUGAUGGCCAGGCUGUCUCCACCCGAGACUCAGUGAAAUUGAACUCGCUGUGAAGAUGCAGUGUACCCGCGGCAAGACGGAAAGACCCCGUGAACCUUUACUAUAGCUUGACACUGAACAUUGAGCCUUGAUGUGUAGGAUAGGUGGGAGGCUUUGAAGCGUGGACGCCAGUCUGCGUGGAGCCAACCUUGAAAUACCACCCUUUAAUGUUUGAUGUUCUAACGUUGGCCCCUUACCGGGGUUGCGGACAGUGUCUGGUGGGUAGUUUGACUGGGGCGGUCUCCUCCCAAAGCGUAACGGAGGAGCACGAAGGUUAGCUAAUCCUGGUCGGACAUCAGGAGGUUAGUGCAAUGGCAUAAGCUAGCUUGACUGCGAGCGUGACGGCGCGAGCAGGUGCGAAAGCAGGUCAUAGUGAUCCGGUGGUUCUGAAUGGAAGGGCCAUCGCUCAACGGAUAAAAGGUACUCCGGGGAUAACAGGCUGAUACCGCCCAAGAGUUCAUAUCGACGGCGGUGUUUGGCACCUCGAUGUCGGCUCAUCACAUCCUGGGGCUGAAGUAGGUCCCAAGGGUAUGGCUGUUCGCCAUUUAAAGUGGUACGCGAGCUGGGUUUAGAACGUCGUGAGACAGUUCGGUCCCUAUCUGCCGUGGGCGCUGGAGAAUUGAGGGGGGCUGCUCCUAGUACGAGAGGACCGGAGUGGACGCAUCACUGGUGUUCGGGUUGUCAUGCCAAUGGCACUGCCCGGUAGCUAAAUGCGGAAGAGAUAAGUGCUGAAAGCAUCUAAGCACGAAACUUGCCCCGAGAUGAGUUCUCCCUGAGACUUUAAGUCUCCUGAAGGAACGUUGAAGACGACGACGUUGAUAGGCCGGGUGUGUAAGCGCAGCGAUGCGUUGAGCUAACCGGUACUAAUGAACCGUGAGGCUUAACCUUACAACGCCGAAG
This 2923-nucleotide ribosomal RNA is filed under the name Klebsiella pneumoniae. RNAcentral describes it as "bacterial LSU rRNA". It matches the Rfam family "Bacterial large subunit ribosomal RNA". The record is from RNAcentral. RNAcentral also lists the same sequence under 1 other name. Lineage: Bacteria; Pseudomonadati; Pseudomonadota; Gammaproteobacteria; Enterobacterales; Enterobacteriaceae.